RNAcentral lists this small RNA (412 nucleotides) under Oryza sativa Japonica Group (Japanese rice). RNAcentral describes it as "probable anion transporter 4, chloroplastic". The record is from RNAcentral. Lineage: Eukaryota; Viridiplantae; Streptophyta; Magnoliopsida; Poales; Poaceae.
CAUUUUAGCAAGAGAAAUAUAGCUGCGUUUGACGGUUGGGACACUGAAAACAAUGAAGAGCAAACUGAAGAGUUGCAAUGGAUUAGUCUGUGAACUGAAACUUGGAGCCAGUGAAUUACCUUACGCUGCCUGAAAGCAUCUGCACCAAGAAGUGUCAGUCUUUGCAGUAAGCUUGUCGCUGAACAAGCUCCUGCCCAACUUGCUUAACAUCUUCUUUUGUUUUGAAAUAUUGAUCCACUAGUGAACCAGCUACCUUGCUUGCUCGAGGAAGGAGCUAGAGCUACUGCCAAACUCGUGUAUUAUGAGAGCAUUUUGGGAGAUUAAGCUUUUUUUUUUGUUAAUUUGUGAUGCUGCUCCUGUUAUUUUGCAUAUCCUGCGGGAUCGUAUCGCAUGACUAUCUAUGCUUGUGCUG